This 573-nucleotide ribosomal RNA is filed under the name uncultured bacterium. RNAcentral's name for it is "bacterial SSU rRNA". It matches the Rfam family "Bacterial small subunit ribosomal RNA", at positions 872 to 1444 of the family's 1533-position model. The record is from RNAcentral.
CCUGGGGAGUACGNCCGCAAGGUUGAAACUCAAAGGAAUUGACGGGGGCCCGCACAAGCGGUGGAGCAUGUGGUUUNAAUUNGAAGCAACGCGAAGAACCUUACCAGGUCUUGACAUCCCGAUGCUAUUCUUAGAGAUAGGAAGUUACUUCGGUACAUCGGAGACAGGUGGUGCAUGGUUGUCGUCAGCUCGUGUCGUGAGAUGUUGGGUUAAGUCCCGCAACGAGCGCAACCCUUAUUGUUAGUUGCCAUCAUUAAGUUGGGCACUCUAGCGAGACUGCCGGUAAUAAACCGGAGGAAGGUGGGGAUGACGUCAAAUCAUCAUGCCCCUUAUGACCUGGGCUACACACGUGCUACAAUGGUCGGUACAACGAGUUGCGAGCCGGUGACGGCAAGCUAAUCUCUGAAAGCCGAUCUCAGUUCGGAUUGGAGGCUGCAACUCGCCUCCAUGAAGUCGGAAUCGCUAGUAAUCGCGGAUCAGCACGCCGCGGUGAAUACGUUCCCGGGCCUUGUACACACCGCCCGUCACGCCACGAGAGUUUGUAACACCCGAAGUCGGUGAGGUANCCUUUUA